This 425-nucleotide ribosomal RNA is filed under the name uncultured bacterium. RNAcentral's name for it is "partial 16S ribosomal RNA". It matches the Rfam family "Bacterial small subunit ribosomal RNA", at positions 354 to 796 of the family's 1533-position model. The record is from RNAcentral.
GUGGGGAAUAUUGGACAAUGGGGGAAACCCUGAUCCAGCCAUGCCGCGUGAAUGAUGAAGGCCUUCGGGUUGUAAAGUUCUUUUGGAGGGGACGAUGAUGACGGUACCCUCAGAAUAAGCUCCGGCUAACUUCGUGCCAGCAGCCGCGGUAAUACGAAGGGAGCUAGCGUUGUUCGGAAUUACUGGGCGUAAAGGGCGCGUAGGCGGUUUGGUCAGUCAGAUGUGAAAGCCCAGGGCUUAACCCUGGAACUGCGUUUGAUACUGCCAAGCUUGAAUUCGGGAGAGGUGAGUGGAAUUCCCAGUGUAGAGGUGAAAUUCGUAGAUAUUGGGAAGAACACCAGUGGCGAAGGCGGCUCACUGGACCGACAUUGACGCUGAGGCGCGAAAGCGUGGGGAGCAAACAGGAUUAGAAACCCUGGUAGUCC